GUUCUUUUUUAUGGCUGCAUAGUAUUCCAUUGUAUAUAGGUACCAUUCUUAAUCCAUUCAUGCAUCGAUGGACAUUUUGGUUGUUUCCAUAUCUGGGCCAUGGUGAAUAGUGCUGCUGUGAACAUGUGGGUGCAUAUAUCUUUUUGAAUUGUAGUUUUGUCCAGAUAUAUGCUCAGGAGUGGGAUUAUUGGAUCAUCUGGAGAAACACAGCUUUAAUGAGGCAAGUGUGCUAGUACAGAAGUUCCCAAAGACGGGAAGGACAGAGAAGACUUCCUGGAAGAAAGGAUGCCUGACCCGAAGCUUGAAGGAGGUCUCUAUGUUUAGAGAGGUCUGGUUAGUUUUCCAUAGCUGGACGUGCAGACAUCAUGGAAAGCAGGACCUUAAGUGUACACUGGGGUCCUGGGGAUUCAACCAGAGCGACUUCUAGGAAACACAACACUGGUGUCCUUGGAACUGCCUUGCACGAGCCCUUUGGUUGCUUGAUCUCUUGGCUUCUGGAUGCAGUCCAGCAUGAACCGCCUCAGCCCACAUUCCACCCUCACUCAAAUGUUGCUCUUUUUCAUAGCUCUUCAACGAGGACACCUACUAAGUUGGCUCAUGUAGGGGCUUAAGGCAUAGUUUUUCAGAUGAAAAAGAGAAGUAUCGGCUUGUCUUGUGCAACAGUGUGGGCUUAGUAUGGUCAUGAUGAGAUAAUGAUACCUAAUUCAGUUAUCACUCUAUAGACCAAGAAAUAUCUUAGAGCUAAUGUUUACCCAAGCUUCAGUGUAAUUACAUUUACAUUGCUAGCCUAGAUAUUGAUUUGACUCAGCCGGUUUUAUAAGAGUAAAUGAUUUGGAUGGGAAGAGACAGAAAGAUGUGACUUUUCAAGGGAAAAACAAACAAACACAUCAGACUGACCUGCAGAAUUGAAGUAAAUAGUUCAGGCUGCUUAUUAAGCAUUUGUGUGCAUUUUUGCCUCAACUCUCUGGUUAAACACUUCUCCAAAGCAUUCAUGCUUGAGUGAAUCGUUCUAGAAGUCUAGACUUAAAGAGCUAGGGCACAGGUUUUUGGGGUUUUUUUUAAUCUUUUUUUUUUUUCCAAUUAUAUUCUUUUUUCCAAAGACAAGGAUCUUGCCUGAAGUACAAACAUAAUGAAAGGCCUGUGAUGUGUAAGCCUAACAGAAGUUGUUUGUUUUUUCUGUCUUAAUACUCAUAUUUAAUUACAACCUUAGGGAAGCCUUCAGCUCUCAGUCCGACCUACUUGAAAUCAGUGGAGAAAAUAGCAAUAUCACCCCUAAGCAACCAUUCAUAAUAACUUUGACUCUUUCCUAAAGCCCAGAGGAAACGUAGUUCUCCAUUCUGGGCCAAGCUUGUCAGGAACAAUUUGCAUUAAUAAAUCUUUUUCAUGUAAGGAUUCAAUUGAACAAUCCUAUCAUUCAUCAUAAUAUAUAGUUGGAAUAAGGACCUUCAUUAGCUAUGUAGGUUGAAGUGAUUUGAAUGACAAAUGUGUUAUGACAUUUUUUUGUUUGUUUGUUUAAUUGGUCAAUAUUAAGCAUCUUAGGAACUGGACAGAGUUUUGGACAAUGAAAUUAUGUGUGGCCCCAUAAAUGGGUCUGAGGUUUCCCUAAAGACUUAAAGCUUGCUUUUUAGGGAUUUCCUACUUAUUACGAUAAGACUGCUGUCUAACUCCUCUGCUGUUUGUCACUCAGAGUAUUCUCUAAUUCUGCUCAGUUUCCAGUACCGCACACUUGGGGAGAUGGGAGAGGCAGCAUCAAGCAUCCCAUAUAUCUCUUGAAUUUAGGGGGGCUGCCAGGUUCCUACCAAGCCUGGGAGAAGCCUCUUCCCACAGGGCCCUAAAGAUUUAGAAGAGAUGGCAGCAGAGACCAUUAUGAGAAGUUUUCCCUGGCUACCUGUUCAUCUCCUCUAUUUAUUUUUGGAAAAUGCUUAGGAAACGUGUUUAUUAUUUGCUGUCAAACCACCCUAAAGAUACUUGGCUCCAUAAGCCUGCCUCCAGCUCCACCUCCUCUCUCUGAAAGGCCUUCUUGUCCCCUGGAAAGUGCUGGGCACUGAGUACUUGACAAUCUCUGGGCACUUCCUGUUCAACCUGUUUAUGUUUGCUCUAGAAAUGCCUUCUGGGUUGUUGCAUAAAGGUGGUUCUUCCCAUGGUCUUUCUCAUCUCAGUCAAAUGGCCACCCCAUCCUUCCAAUGGCCCAAGCCCCAAACUUGGUGUCAUCUUUGACUCUUUUUUGCUCUCACACCUGAUAUCUCUGCCAAUCAGUGGGGAAGGUCCCUUGGGAUACCUUCAAAGUUAGUUUUGGGAAUCCGACCUCUUCUCACCCCACCCCUCAUCCAAGCCACCAGCAUCUCUCCCCAGUCUUUCCACUCCCAUCCUUGGCCUUCUUAAAACUACAGCCACCAUGAUGCUUCUGAAGCCUAAGCCAAUGUCUGUCCUUCCUCCGGACUCGGUGCAUCUUAGCCCCCUGAUUACUUCCUAGAGGCCACGCAGAGAUGUCAAAAACUUUCCCAGGCCUGGGCUCCAUCCCUGCAGAUUUGGAUUCACUUGGUUUUAAAAGUUCCGCAGGUGAUUCCAGCAAUGGGCACCUCACAAUGGUCUGCGAGCCCUUCCCCACCCUGGCAGGUCCUCUGGCCUCACGUCCACUGCCCAGACCCACGCUCACUCUGUGCCCGCCCCUUGGCCUCCAUGCACACGGGGCAUGCUCCCACUUUGUCCUGGGAAUUCUCUUCCCAAUUCCCACCGGGCUGACUUUGCCUCCUUCAGCUCUCUGCUCGAAUAUCACCUCAGUGAGGCCUCUGAGCAGUGAGUCCCCCACCCGGCACGCAGUCCACCCUCCCGCUCCCUCUUUCCUGCUUUAUUUUUCUCCAUCGCACUCAUCACCAACCAGCUGACGUCCUGUGUAUUUUGAGCGUCACGAUGCUGUUCCACGAGGGCAGGAGGUUUUGGCAGGUUUUCUUGGGGGUUGUGUUCCCAGUGCCACGAACGAUAGAAAUAAAUAUUCGCAAAUAAAUAUUUAUCCAAUGAAUGAAGCACGCUCGGGAAGGAGCUGUGGGGCCGCCCCCUGUGAGCAGCGCUGAGGUGAGGCCCAAACAGGCAAGCGGUGCUGAGGACAGUUGCCUUGUUUUCUGCUUUGUCCCACUGUGACACGCUUCUUCACCCCCCGAAGCGCGUAAGAAGGGCUUGGCUGUAUUCAGUGAUGAAUGAACCAUCUGAGUACAUCCAAGUACCCCUUUUGCAUAUUUUUCCCAUCGUUUUAGGCAUCUCGUUUGGUCUUUACAGAAAGCUGUCCUGCUGGGUACAGGAGAGGCCGGAAGCCAGCCUGUCUCCUCUUAGCAUCUGCUAACAGAGUGAUGCCAAUUAGCAUGUGUCAAGGGCCUGAAAAGAAUCAGACUGGGCUUAAAAGGUAUCAGGCAGUCAGCCUGGCACAGAUUUAAUAAGCUGUCUGCUGCCUCUGGAGCAGGGGGGUUUUUUUGGUUUGUUUGUAUUUAUUUAUUUAUUUAUCUGUCUAGCUCUGUCAAGAGGCGUCCUGAUUGCUUUAGUGGUUACACAGCAGAGAUCCUGCAUUUACUCAGUGACUUCCGAAUGCAGUCAAAGAUGACCUCUGGGGUGACCGUGUGGUCCAAACAGAGCAAUUAACUCUUCUUGUCCAUAUGUGUAAACUUCCAGCAACUUCCAUGGCAAAGUACUUUCUGAAUUACUUCCUGGUAUGAGGAGAAAGUUAUAUCACCACGGAGAAAACCAGGUAAAAGAAGAACCCGGAAAGGGGUGGCCCCUCAGAAUAUCCACCUACUCCAGGGGAGGGGCAGGUGUGUGUGGUGGGUGGGAAGUGGCUGGUGAACCUUGAAAUGCGAGGUGGUGGGGGCGAUCAAAGAUGCAGCUGGGCUGGUGUCAGUGGCUCAUGGGGGUGGGGGGCAGGGGCACGGCCAAGCAGCCCUCUCCUCCCAUCAGGGUUUUCCGGAACAUCUACUGCUGCUCCCCUCCACCUGGACCCCUCUUGCUGUUCCCUUAAGAGUCUGUAGAAAACUAAACCCAAGAGAGUGGGGGUCAGCACACUGCUUACACGAGGCUACUCCUCUUGCCAUAUGAUCGUCUAUGCCAUAAAAGCAUUGUUUUCAGGUCCGCGCUAUUGUCAUCUUGUCAACUUAAUUUCUGGCUAUUAAUAAUAACCUCAAUGCAUAAAAAGUGACCACGCGAAACGGAAAGCUAACAUUUAGUGAGCCCUCACCCUGUGCCAGCCCCUGUCUUCAGUGUGUUCCAGGAAAUCCUCCGAAUGACCUCUGAAUGAGGGAUUACUUCAAAAGCCCCUGACCUGCCUGCAAACGAAUGCACAGAGAUUUAGAAACUGGCCCAAGGUCAUGCAGCUGGUCUCUGGCAGAGCCAGCGCUCACACGCAGCACUUCAUUUCAUCUAAUGUAGACAGGGCCACACUGAAGGAAGUACUAUGGAGCCAAAUUACACAGGAGAUGCUCAAAGAAAUGACUCCCCCAAGGCCAUACAGCUAUUAAGAAGCUAAGAUCCGAACCCAAGUUUGUCUGGUUUCAAAGCCCUUGGCUCUGCUUUAAUUGGUUUCUUGAGUAAAGACCACUCUUUUUUAUUCAUCAAUAGUAUUCUAAAUGUGGUAUUAUCGUGAGUUACCAUCGUGGCUCAGUGGAAAUGAAUCUAACUAGCAUCCAUGAGAUCCCAGGCCUCACUCCUUGGGUUGGGGAUCCAGCGUUGCUGUGAGCUGUGGUGUAGGCUGCAGAUGGCUCACGUCUGGUGUUGCUGUGGUGUAGGUCGGCAGCUGUAGCUCCGAUUCAACCCCUAGCCUGGAAUCCUCUAUAUGCCGUGUGGUCCUAAAAAAGAAAAAAAAAAAAAAAAUUGGUAUUAUAACUUCAGCUGGAAGCAGCAUCCAGAUAUAACUAGGUGUUAGGUUAAGAUUCUGUAAUUUUUAGCUUCACUAAAAAAAAAAAAGGGGGGAGUUCCCAUCAUGGCUCAGUGGCUAAUGAAUCUGAAUAGGAACCAUGAGGUUGCGGGGUUGAUCCCUGGCCUUGCUCAGUGGGUUAAGGAUCCGGCGUUGCCUUGAGCUGUGGUGUAGGCCCCAGAUGAAGCUCGGCUCCUGCAUUGCUGUGGCUCUGGCAUAGGCUGGAGGCUACAGCUCCGUCUGAACCCCUAGCCUGGGAACCUUCAUAUGCCUCUGGUGUGGCCCUAAAAAGACAAAAAAAAAAAAAAAAA
This 5205-nucleotide long non-coding RNA is filed under the name Sus scrofa (pig). RNAcentral's name for it is "lncRNA (ENSSSCG00015028467.1)". Lineage: Eukaryota; Metazoa; Chordata; Mammalia; Artiodactyla; Suidae. The record is from RNAcentral.